Planococcus citri (citrus mealybug) is the source of this 809-nucleotide long non-coding RNA. RefSeq lists it as uncharacterized. The transcript has 2 exons. Lineage: Eukaryota; Metazoa; Arthropoda; Insecta; Hemiptera; Pseudococcidae. The record is from RefSeq and is a predicted model, not a curated record.
UGCCCAUAACGUUGUCGGUGCCUAAUAUUUAACCGUUAUCGUCGUCUAUCUGUACAAUAAAUGCAAUAUUUCGUCACAGGUGAGUUAUUUUCGCGUCGAAUUUAAUUAAUUUCUGAUUGCGAAUCGUUCGGUUCUCGACGAAAUCGAAAAACUCGUUAGUUAUUAAAUUGCACGCUAGUGUCGAGUGUACUCCACCCCGCGACACCAAUACCCUCGUAGCAGCUACUGCAUUACGAGAUGCUAUCGUCGAUAUAACGAGGAUCGAUCUCAUCCAGGAUUCGACGAAAGAAAAUUUCGAUGAAACGGACGCUUGUUGCAACGUUAUGGGCAUCACUCGUUCUAGUCGCAAUGAAAAUUGUAACUGGAGUUUCGCUGUCUCUUAUGCCAGCAUUGACACCGCCCGAGGCGACGACGACGACGAUGAUGACACGGAAUCAAAAAUGGAAAUAUCUUCCCGUUUGUAACCAUGAGGGAAAUCACAUCAAAUGUACAGCUGUCGUCCACGAAUACAUCGUCGACGACGACAAUGAAACAUCAUCGUCGCCUAUUCCUCUACAUUCGGACUCGGAUGACGACUACGACGACGAUGACUCGACGAGUAAGAUAAAUCAUUAUUUCAUUCGAUGACAAUCGAAGCGAAUAUACAAAACGUUGGAAAUUAAAGUUCUGACCUAGCUGUCAAUUUCCAUCAUCACGUAGGCGAGCCUCGAGCUUUUCCCAUCUCCUCUUUCCCUCCUCGUCGUGUACACGUUUCAUCGAAAUUCGUCCACUUUUCGUUAUUAUUUUCACAGCCUGUAUUUUCGUCACAC